UAAUACCACACAUGCAUGGGCCCUGAUCGUUAGUAUGAUGUUUGCGGGGAGGCCACAAUAACAUCCCAGCCCAUGGAUUACCAUACCAUUAAAAAAAACACAUAUCCAAUAAUUUGUGGCAUCGGAGCAAAACCGCAGGUUGAAGGCACCAUUCCUUGUACAUCUGCGCGGUUUUUAUAUUGACAAACCCCAUAUCCACCGUCAAGUCACAGCUCAGUUCAGUAGCCAAGAAUUGCUUCGUGAAAAUCAUAGGUCCAGCACUUUCUGAAAUCGCAGUGGCCAUAAAAUCUAGAUUCCAUCGUACGGGGGGGGGGCUUCACGGUUGUUACGUGGAGGCAUCCCAAAUCCACCAUCAAAUCUCGCCUUCAACUAUUGGCUAUACCAUCAGGAACAUGGAUCAAGUGCUUCGUGGGGCUGCCCUGGCACAACAAUCUAUGUUCAAUUCGGAAAAACAGUUCCUCGUGGAUCGUCAUUUUGACAUGAAGACAUCUCAGAUCCAUUGCUGAAUUACCAGGCUAUCAGCUCUCAGCAUCCAAAGGAAAUGAUCCUCUGCUUUGUGGCACUGCUGUGGUACAGAAACCUAAAUGUGAAACAUGGACACACACCCUUAAAAAAAAAAAAAGGAGCCCAGGGCGGCAAACAAAAGCACUAAAAACACUUUGGAAAUGGACUACAUUCAAUUUGAUCCCGACUUAUGGUGACCUUAUGAAUAGAGUUUUCAUGUUCCCUUAACAUUUGGCGACCCAGAUGGGACUCUGAUGAGACACUAGUAGGCUGCGGUAUUCCGCCCUCCUGAAGUGGACAGACCGGUGUGGAGAGGAAGACCGAGCAUUACCAAAGGGAGCGCGCCGACCGGUAAUUUUCACCGAUCGCCUUGCAGCACGGGCGGUCUGUCUCUCUGCCGGAACCCUCCACCGGGAAAGGAGUGAGACAACAAACGGUUCCUGUGAAAGACCGGCCGGCACCGGAAUAGGGACCACCCCACCACGUCAGA
Molecule: long non-coding RNA, 994 nt
Organism: Rhineura floridana
Lineage: Eukaryota; Metazoa; Chordata; Lepidosauria; Squamata; Rhineuridae
Exons: 3
Source: RefSeq, a predicted model, not a curated record